GAUGAAGAACGCAGCGAAAUGCGAUAAGUAGUGUGAAUUGCAGAAUUCAGUGAAUCAUCGAAUCUUUGAACGCACAUUGCGCCCCUUGGUAUCCCGAGGGGCAUGCCUGUUCGAGCGUCAUUUCACCACUCAAGCCUGGCUUGGUGUUGGGCGACGUCCUCUUUGGGGACGCGCCUCGAAACGCUCGGCGGCGUGGCACCGGCUUUAAGCGUAGCAGAAUCUUUCGCUUUGGAAGUCGGGGCCCCGUCUGCCGGAAGACCUGCUGGCAAGGUUGACCUCGGAUCAGGCAGGGAUACCCGCUGAACUUAAGCAUAUCAAUAAGCGGAGGA
RNAcentral lists this unclassified non-coding RNA (329 nucleotides) under soil metagenome. Its description in RNAcentral is "partial contains 5.8S ribosomal RNA, internal transcribed spacer 2, and large subunit ribosomal RNA". The stretch from base 1 to 120 matches the Rfam family "5.8S ribosomal RNA", at positions 35 to 154 of the family's 154-position model. The record is from RNAcentral.